UGCUCCGAUGGCAUAGUGGUUAGAGCGUCCGCCUCGGAUGCGGGAGGUCUCGGGUUCAAUCCCCAACCGAGCCA
Non-coding RNA from Potamilus streckersoni, 74 nucleotides. Lineage: Eukaryota; Metazoa; Mollusca; Bivalvia; Unionida; Unionidae. The record is from the annotation of a GenBank genome assembly.